RNAcentral lists this transfer RNA (69 nucleotides) under Marmota monax (woodchuck). RNAcentral describes it as "tRNA.Ala". It matches the Rfam family "tRNA". Rfam says of the family: Transfer RNA (tRNA) molecules are approximately 80 nucleotides in length. Their secondary structure includes four short double-helical elements and three loops (D, anti-codon, and T loops). The record is from RNAcentral. Lineage: Eukaryota; Metazoa; Chordata; Mammalia; Rodentia; Sciuridae.
GGGUGUAGCUCAGUUGUAGAGUGCUUGCCUGGCAUGUGUGAGGCCCUAGGUUGGAUCCCUAACACCACA